RNAcentral lists this ribosomal RNA (404 nucleotides) under Actinomycetes bacterium. RNAcentral's name for it is "Actinobacteria bacterium partial 16S ribosomal RNA". It matches the Rfam family "Bacterial small subunit ribosomal RNA", at positions 355 to 776 of the family's 1533-position model. Lineage: Bacteria; Bacillati; Actinomycetota; Actinomycetes. The record is from RNAcentral.
UGGGGAAUAUUGGACAAUGGGCGCAAGCCUGAUCCAGCCAUGCCGCGUGAGUGAUGAAGGCCCUAGGGUUGUAAAGCUCUUUCACCGGUGAAGAUAAUGACGGUAACCGGAGAAGAAGCCCCGGCUAACUUCGUGCCAGCAGCCGCGGUAAUACGAAGGGGGCUAGCGUUGUUCGGAUGUACUGGGCGUAAAGCGCACGUAGGCGGACUUUUAAGUCAGGGGUGAAAUCCCGGGGCUCAACCCCGGAACUGCCUUUGAUACUGGAAGUCUUGAGUAUGGUAGAGGUGAGUGGAAUUCCGAGUGUAGAGGUGAAAUUCGUAGAUAUUCGGAGGAACACCAGUGGCGAAGGCGGCUCACUGGACCAUUACUGACGCUGAGGUGCGAAAGCGUGGGGAGCAAACAGG